RNAcentral lists this ribosomal RNA (253 nucleotides) under uncultured bacterium. Its description in RNAcentral is "partial 16S ribosomal RNA". It matches the Rfam family "Bacterial small subunit ribosomal RNA", at positions 524 to 776 of the family's 1533-position model. The record is from RNAcentral.
UACGGGGGGGGCAAGCGUUGUUCGGAAUUACUGGGCGUAAAGCGCGUGUAGGCGGCGUGACAAGUCGGGUGUGAAAGCCCGGGGCUCAACCCCGGAACGGCACCCGAGACUGGGCGGCUCGAGACCGGGAGAGGUGGGUGGAAUACCCAGUGUAGAGGUGAAAUUCGUAGAUAUUGGGUGGAACACCGGUGGCGAAAGCGGCUCACUGGCCCGGUUCUGACGCUGAGGUGCGAAAGCGUGGGGAGCGAACAGG